CCUACGGGUGGCUGCAGUGGGGAAUAUUGGACAAUGGGCGAAAGCCUGAUCCAGCCAUGCCGCGUGUGUGAAGAAGGCCUUCGGGUUGUAAAGCACUUUCAGUGGGGAAGAAAGCCUUGGGGCUAAUACCCUCGAGGAAGGACAUCACCCACAGAAGAAGCACCGGCUAACUCCGUGCCAGCAGCCGCGGUAAUACGGAGGGUGCGAGCGUUAAUCGGAAUUACUGGGCGUAAAGCGCGCGUAGGCGGUCUGAUAAGCCGGUUGUGAAAGCCCCGGCUCAACCUGGGAACGGCAUCCGGAACUGUCAGGCUAGAGUGCAGGAGAGGAAGGUAGAAUUCCCGGUGUAGCGGUGAAAUGCGUAGAGAUCGGGAGGAAUACCAGUGGCGAAGGCGGCCUUCUGGACUGACACUGACGCUGAGGUGCGAAAGCGUGGGUAGCAAACAGGAUUAGAUACCCGGGUAGUC
This 464-nucleotide ribosomal RNA is filed under the name Vreelandella stevensii. RNAcentral describes it as "partial 16S ribosomal RNA". It matches the Rfam family "Bacterial small subunit ribosomal RNA", at positions 338 to 795 of the family's 1533-position model. Lineage: Bacteria; Pseudomonadati; Pseudomonadota; Gammaproteobacteria; Oceanospirillales; Halomonadaceae. The record is from RNAcentral.